UGAGUUAGCCGGACGGUCGCAUCGUUUGUUCGAUGAGGAAAGUCCGAGCAUCGCAGGGCAAGGGCGCAAGAUAACGUCUUGUGGAGGCGACUCCAAGGAAAGUGCAACAGAAAUAAACCGCGAACCGUCCGAUUUUUUUCGGGCGGCGCAAGGAUGGAAAGGGGAGGUAAGGGCUCACCGGCGUUUUGGCGACAUUACGCGCUAUGUAAACCCCGCUCGAUGCAAGAGAAUAUCGGCGCGAUAAGGCUGCCCGCCUUGCCGGUAUAAAUCGCUUGAACCUAUCGGCGACGGUAGGUCUAGACAGAUGACCGUUCAAGACAGAACUCGGCUUAUAGACUAAUCUCAUUUU
Molecule: RNase P RNA, 349 nt
Filed under: Clostridiales bacterium
Lineage: Bacteria; Bacillati; Bacillota; Clostridia; Eubacteriales
Description: RNase P RNA component class A
Rfam family: Bacterial RNase P class A
About the family: Ribonuclease P (RNase P) is a ubiquitous endoribonuclease, found in archaea, bacteria and eukarya as well as chloroplasts and mitochondria.
Source: RNAcentral